UCGGAGCUAACGCGUUAAGUAGACCGCCUGGGGAGUACGGUCGCAAGAUUAAAACUCAAAUGAAUUGACGGGGGCCCGCACAAGCGGUGGAGCAUGUGGUUUAAUUCGAUGCAACGCGAAGAACCUUACCUACUCUUGACAUCCAGAGAACUUAGCAGAGAUGCUUUGGUGCCUUCGGGAACUCUGAGACAGGUGCUGCAUGGCUGUCGUCAGCUCGUGUUGUGAAAUGUUGGGU
Molecule: ribosomal RNA, 235 nt
Filed under: uncultured Vibrionaceae bacterium
Lineage: Bacteria; Pseudomonadati; Pseudomonadota; Gammaproteobacteria; Vibrionales; Vibrionaceae
Description: partial 16S ribosomal RNA
Rfam family: Bacterial small subunit ribosomal RNA
Source: RNAcentral